CCUACGGGUGGCAGCAGUGAGGAAUAUUGGUCAAUGGACGAGAGUCUGAACCAGCCAAGUAGCGUGAAGGAUGACUGCCCUAUGGGUUGUAAACUUCUUUUAUAUGGGAAUAAAAUGUUCCACGUGUGGGAUUUUGUAUGUACCAUAUGAAUAAGGAUCGGCUAACUCCGUGCCAGCAGCCGCGGUAAUACGGAGGAUCCGAGCGUUAUCCGGAUUUAUUGGGUUUAAAGGGAGCGUAGGUGGAUUGUUAAGUCAGUUGUGAAAGUUUGCGGCUCGACCGUAAAAUUGCAGUUGAAACUGGCAGUCUUGAGUACAGUAGAGGUGGGCGGAAUUCGUGGUGUAGCGGUGAAAUGCUUAGAUAUCACGAAGAACUCCGAUUGCGAAGGCAGUUCACUGGACUGCAACUGACACUGAGGCUCGAAAGUGUGGGUAUCAAACAGGAUUAGAUACCCUUGUAGUC
This 460-nucleotide ribosomal RNA is filed under the name uncultured bacterium. RNAcentral describes it as "partial 16S ribosomal RNA". It matches the Rfam family "Bacterial small subunit ribosomal RNA", at positions 338 to 795 of the family's 1533-position model. The record is from RNAcentral.